CCAAGGAGUCUAACACGUGCGCGAGUCACAGGGUUGAACUCGCACGAAAGCACUAAACCCUAAGGCGCAAUGAAAGUGAAGGUCAGCCCACCCACGCUGACCGAGGCAGGAUACGUCCGAGUGAGCGAAGCUCUUCUUCCUUUCGCGGGAGAGGUUGGGGUCUACCUCUUCCUUUUUUCCGCGGAGGAGCUCGGCGUCGCACUGCCGGCCCAUCUCGACCGCCUCCUGUCGGCGAGGUGGAGCAAGAGCGCACACGUUGGGACCCGAAAGAUGGUGAACUAUGCUCGGGCAGGACGAAGCCAGAGGAAACUCUGGUGGAGGUCCGUAGCGAUUCUGACGUGCAAAUCGAUCGUCGGACCCGAGUAUAGGGGCGAAAGACUAAUCGAACCGUCUA
This 394-nucleotide ribosomal RNA is filed under the name Sterropristes violaceus. RNAcentral's name for it is "eukaryotic LSU rRNA". It matches the Rfam family "Eukaryotic large subunit ribosomal RNA", at positions 666 to 946 of the family's 3401-position model. The record is from RNAcentral. Lineage: Eukaryota; Metazoa; Arthropoda; Chilopoda; Scolopendromorpha; Scolopendridae.